Molecule: ribosomal RNA, 466 nt
Filed under: uncultured bacterium
Lineage: Bacteria
Description: partial 16S ribosomal RNA
Rfam family: Bacterial small subunit ribosomal RNA
Source: RNAcentral
GAUGAACGCUGGCGGCGUGCUUAACACAUGCAAGUCGAACGAUCAAGCCCAGCUUUCUGGGUUGUUUCGUGACCAACGGGUGAGUAACACAUGAGUAACCUGCCCUUCUCUCUGGCUUAAGCCUCUGCAACUGGGUCUAAUACCUGCUAGGUACGUCCACCGCCUGGUUGGUUUUGUAGAGAUUUAUCGGUUUUCGAUCGAUUCUCGGCCUAUCCGCUUGUUAGUGAGUUAUUGGUAGACUAAGGCGUAGCCAGGUAGGCGGCCUGAGAGGGUGACCGGGCACAAGGGGACUGAGGGACGGCGCAGAAGCCUACGGGAGGCAGCAGGGGGGAAUAUGGCAGAAUGGGCGCAAGUGUGAGGCAGAGACGCCGCGUGAGGGAUGACGGGCUACGGGGUAUAAACAUAUGUGAGUAGGGAAGAAGCGAAAGUGACGGUACCUGAAGAAGAAGCACCGGCUAACUACGUG